UACGGGAGGCAGCAGUGGGGAAUAUUGGGCAAUGGGCGAAACCCUGACCCAGCAACGCCGCGUGAGGGAAGAAGGUUUUCGGAUCGUAAACCUCUGUCCUUGGUGAAGAGGAAGAGACGGUAGCCAAGGAGGAAGCCCCGGCUAACUACGUGCCAGCAGCCGCGGUAAU
This 169-nucleotide ribosomal RNA is filed under the name uncultured rumen bacterium. Its description in RNAcentral is "partial 16S ribosomal RNA". It matches the Rfam family "Bacterial small subunit ribosomal RNA", at positions 340 to 524 of the family's 1533-position model. The record is from RNAcentral.